GACGAACGCUGGCGGCGUGCUUAACACGUGCAAGUCGAACGGUGAAGCGCCUUCCUUUUUGGUGGGUGUGGAUGAGUGGCGAACGGGUGAGUAACACGUGAGUAACCUGCCCCCUUCCUCUGGAUAACCGCAUGAAAGUGUGGCUAAUACGGGCUAUUCUGGGUCUGUCGCAUGAUGGGUCUGGGAAAGCUAUUGUUUCGGUGGGGGAUGGGCUCGCGGCCUAUCAGCUUGUUGGUGGGGUGAUGACCUACCAAGGCGGCGACGGGUAGCCGGCCUGAGAGGGUGGACGCGCACACUGGGACGGAGACACCAGCGAGAAUCGGAAGGGAGGCAGCGGUAAUGAAUAGUGCACAAUGGGCGCAAGCCAGAUGCAGCUGGGCCGCGUGAGGGAGGGAGGCCGUCGGGUUAGUAAGCUCAUUCGCCAGAAAAGAAGGCCUGCCUCGUUUGUGAGUGGGUUGACGGUAGCUGGGUAAGAAGCGCCGGCUAACUACGU
RNAcentral lists this ribosomal RNA (493 nucleotides) under uncultured bacterium. RNAcentral's name for it is "partial 16S ribosomal RNA". It matches the Rfam family "Bacterial small subunit ribosomal RNA", at positions 28 to 506 of the family's 1533-position model. The record is from RNAcentral.